This 1611-nucleotide long non-coding RNA is filed under the name Oryza sativa Indica Group (long-grained rice). Its description in RNAcentral is "lncRNA OsMH63_07G016070". The record is from RNAcentral. Lineage: Eukaryota; Viridiplantae; Streptophyta; Magnoliopsida; Poales; Poaceae.
UCCCCUUUAUUUUAUUCGACACCAUACCAAACGGAUCAACCAACAGGAAUCACAAGUUCACAACAUGAGACAUCGAAUGGAUUGAGUAAAGAGGACUCAUUGCGCGCGCACAUAAUCUGCGGUGAAACCAGCAAACUUAACGGAUUUGAACGGCACCCCUUCGGACGAUAUCGUCGGUGAGCCUCCGGAACGCCGUGGACGACGACCCGCCCUCCUCCACGGCCUUCCGGCAAACGACCCUCGUCUCCGCCGCCUUCGCCCUCGCCUUCCUCCCCUCCUCCGACGCGUCGUCCAUCAGCGACCUCACCGCGCGCUCCAGCUCCGCCGCCUCCACGAAGUUGUCCCGCCUCCUGUCCAUGCCGAGCGGCACGGCGACGCCCAGGACGGACACCAGCAGGAACGCGUUCGCGUGCUGCUCGUUGUCGAGCGGCCAUGGCAGCAUCGGCACGCCGAACCAGAGGCUCUCGAGGAUGGAGUUCCACCCGCAGUGCGUCACGAACCCGCCCACGGCGGCGUGGGCGAGGAUGUCCUUCUGCGGCGCCCGCGUCGGCCACACGAGCCCCCUCCCCUUGGUCUUGUCCAAGAACCCCUCGGGGAGGAGCUCGUCGAGCAUGGCGUCCGUGGGCACCCGUUGCCCCGGCCGGCUGUCCUUGGGCGGGCCGCGCAGCACCCACAGGAAGCGGUGCUCGCUCCGCUCCAGCGCGGCGGCUAUCUCCCGCACCUUGGGCGGCGGCAGGAGGCCCUUGCUGCCGAAGCAGACGAGCAGCACGGACGCCGGGGGCUGCGCGUCCAGCCACCGCACGCACUCGUGCGGCUGCUCCGGCGGCGGGGUGAGCGCGAUCACCGGGCCGAUCGCGUACACCGUCGGCGCGGGCACCCCGCGCGUGCACCGGCCGUCGGCGAUGGCGUCGAUGACGCUCUGCUCGAGCUCCGCCGCCGUGUUGACGAUGAAGCCGGUGGCCUUCAUCAUCGUCGCCGGGAGCACGGACGGCGGCACCGGCGGCAGCCCGGGAAUGUUCAGCGCGCCAUCCAUCUCCGAGAAUUCGCCGGGCACCUCCUCGUCGAGCACCGGCGAGUACAGCAGCAGCUCCAGCAUGACGGCGCUGGAGGACGGCACGCCGAGCUCGGCGGCCACGUCGAGCGCCGGCGUGCAGAAGAUGUCGGUGACGAGCGCGGCCACGGGGCAAUCGAGCCCGGCGAUGGCGGCCCUCACGUGGGGCCCGUGGCUCCGCAGUAUGAGGGAGACCCACUCCUCGAUGCCGGUGUGGACGGUCGGCAUGUCGACGGCGGGGAGGUGCCGGAAGCUGAUGUCGUCGGCGCCGGAGGCCUCCUCGCGCUUCACCUGGGCCGCGAUGUCGACCGCCGCCUCCGGCGUCGGCGCCGGCAUGAGGAGCACGGUGACCGACAGCGCGCCGCCGCUGCCGCGGAGCAGCCGCUUGCCGGCCUCGAUCAUGGGCAUGAAGUGGCCGGCGCCCCACACGGGCAGCAACACCACCGUCGGCUUCGCCAUCGGUUGGAUUCGAAUUCGAACGAUGCUUCUGCUGCACGCUGUGCGGCUGCUUUGUAUGAAUCAGAAUGUGUUCUUGUGCUUUUAUAUGUAAGCAACUUCUG